GUGAAAAAGAGAAUGGAGGAGUACAGAUCAGGAGCCACCACUACCUUUCAGGAUCACCAUGGUACAGAAAAAGACUACCAGUGUCUCCAGUGACACUCUGCAAACUGAAGAAGCAUCAGCUGCUGAAGUGGUUUGUAUCAUAGAAUUUUCUUCUUCUGGCCCUGGAUCCUGUGGAUAUCAGACAAAGCAGCUAUUUACCACCUAUAUGGCAUGGACGAGAAAAAGGAAAAACUAGGCAGGUAAGUGAUUUACUCAAGGUCAAUAGCUAAUACAAGCAAAGCCAAGACUUGAAUACUUCUGACUCCAAAUGGUCUCCCAUUCUACACCACAG
Molecule: long non-coding RNA, 331 nt
Filed under: Bos mutus (wild yak)
Lineage: Eukaryota; Metazoa; Chordata; Mammalia; Artiodactyla; Bovidae
Description: lncRNA (ENSBMUG00000017107.1)
Source: RNAcentral